This 60-nucleotide microRNA precursor is filed under the name Callorhinchus milii (elephant shark). Its description in RNAcentral is "Cmi-Novel-9_pre stem-loop". Lineage: Eukaryota; Metazoa; Chordata; Chondrichthyes; Chimaeriformes; Callorhinchidae. The record is from RNAcentral.
ACGUUUCACUUACAGAUCUUUUUCCAACUAAGAAUUUAAAGAUCUCUGAAUGAAAUGUGG